CGGGAAAAGCUCAAAUUUAAAAUCUGGCAGUCUUUGGCUGUCCGAGUUGUAAUUUGCAGAAGAUGCUUUGGGUGUGGCACUGGUCUAAGUUCUUUGGAAUGUGACAUCAUAGAGGGUGAGAAUCCCGUAUGUGAUCAGCCGCCGCGCCCGUGUAAAGCUCUUUC
Molecule: ribosomal RNA, 164 nt
Filed under: Helotiales sp.
Lineage: Eukaryota; Fungi; Ascomycota; Leotiomycetes; Helotiales
Description: partial large subunit ribosomal RNA
Rfam family: Eukaryotic large subunit ribosomal RNA
Source: RNAcentral